Rhipicephalus sanguineus (brown dog tick) is the source of this 483-nucleotide long non-coding RNA. RefSeq lists it as uncharacterized. The transcript has 5 exons. NCBI's taxonomy places the organism in Eukaryota, Metazoa, Arthropoda, Arachnida, Ixodida, Ixodidae. The record is from RefSeq and is a predicted model, not a curated record.
AUCAUCAUCAUCGUCUCGACGUUCCUCCGUGAAUUGGCGCUUGGCUGCAGAAUGGCCGUGAGACGGGUUUCCAUCGGGGGCUACGUCGCCGACGACACCGACACACAGGGGCAACGUUCCACAGAACAUUCGACGAAAUAAGACACACGGCCCUGACAACAGCGCCAGAGCCCUUUACGUCACCCCUGUCGUGUGCUUGGCUUGCCGUGGUGCUCAUCAGCCUGCUCGCCAUAGUGACCGUCAUUCUAAGUCUCUGCUACAUCUUCAAGAAAGGUCGCCCACCCCUGCCGACAAGCCCUCCUGUCCUUCAUGUGACGACGCCUAGCCAGGGAGACAGUGGCCACUCUAGUGCACUGGCUAACAUCAGUGCAGCAAGCAGCGACGGAGACGAUCGGGCAACGUCAUCACGUAUAACAUAGUUAUGCCCAAGCUAAAUCAUAAUUCGCAAAUAGCCAUCGCAUCCAGUUAAUAAACUUGUUCCAC